AAUGCUUUCGCAGUAGUUCGUCUUUAAAAAUCUAAGAAUUUCACCUCUGACAGUUAAAUACGAAUGCCCCCAACCGUCCCUAUUAAUCAUUACUUCAGUCCUAGAAACCAACAAAAUAGGGCCGAAAUCCUAUCUUAUUAUUCCAUGCUGCAGUAUUCAAGGCGACAAGCCUGCUUGAAACACUCUAAUUUUCUCAAAGUAAAAGUCCUGGAAAAAACUCCACACAAUGAAGUGUGGAGAAAUCCAGAAGGAUGCUAGAAUUCACCAAGUGCACACCCCUGAGGGCGGACUGGCUGCUUCCAGCAGAAAUCCAACUACGAGCUUUUUAACUGCAACAACUUUAAUAUACGCUAUUGGAGCUGGAAUUACCGCGGCUGCUGGCACCAGACUUGCCCUCCAAUUGUUACUCUGAAAGGGGUUUGGAUUCCUAUCAUUCCAAUCACUAGAAAUGAAAUUUCCAGUGUUGUUAUUUCUUGUCACUACCUCCCUGAAUCAGGAUUGGGUAAUUUGCGCGCCUGCUGCCUUCCUUAGAUGUGGUAGCCGUUUCUCAGGCUCCCUCUCCGGAAUCGAACCCUAAUUCCCCGUUACCCGUCACUGCCACGGUAGUCCAAUACAGUACCGUCGAAAGCUGAUAGGUCAGAAACUUGAAUGAUCCGUCGCAGACCGAAGUCAACGCGAUCCGUUCGGUUACUAUGAAUCACCUGAGGACCACCGGAAGGUGGGUUGGUUCUGUAUCUAAUAAACACUGCCCUUCCAGGGGAAGAGGCAUGUGCGCAUGUAUUAGCCAUAGAAUUACCACGGUUAUCCAUGUAGUAAAGACCAUCAAAUAAACUAUAACUGUUUUAAUGAGCCAUUCGCAGUUUAGCCGUAUAAAAGCUUAUACUUAGACAUGCAUGGCUUAAUCUUUAAGACAAGCAUAUGA
This is a ribosomal RNA of Toxoplasma gondii ME49, 922 nucleotides long. NCBI's taxonomy places the organism in Eukaryota, Apicomplexa, Conoidasida, Eucoccidiorida, Sarcocystidae. The record is from RefSeq and is a predicted model, not a curated record.